Molecule: ribosomal RNA, 1074 nt
Filed under: Triticum aestivum (bread wheat)
Lineage: Eukaryota; Viridiplantae; Streptophyta; Magnoliopsida; Poales; Poaceae
Description: partial small subunit ribosomal RNA
Source: RNAcentral
AUGCGGAAGGGGAUCAAUCUGACGGUUGGAAGGCAGUGCAUCGGACGGCCUGGGCUCGACCGGCCCAACUGUUGGGCCGGCGCACCGGCGCAGAUCACUGCCCAUAAAGAAAACCCCAACCCCACAGCCCCGCUCGUCUUUUCUCCCCUAUCCACUCCCGCACUACCGCACUUUCCCCUCCACUACUGCACAUCCCGCCGCGGCCAACCUCCUUUCUCCCGCCGCCGGAAAGCCUGCGGCUCCUUUUUCCCCGCGUCGGAGUGCCCCUGGCCUUCUUUCCUCCCUGCGCCGGCCAUGGCCUCUUUCCUCCCAGGCCCGCUUCCUGACCCUGCGCCACCUCCUCAUUCAGGCAAGCCACUGCCCCUCCCCGGCCGCCUUCCACCUCACUGCCCCAUCCUGAGCUCCUUCCACCUUGCCGACCCCCGGCAACACACUGCCCCGCCGCGGCGAGUCAUCUCCCUCACCCAGGCGCCCCGAGCAACCCCGCCCGGGGCCGUGACGGCCCAAUCUGGUGCCGCUGUGGCCGCGCACGGGAGGUUUAAUGGCGGCACAUCGCCCAUGGUGAACCGGCGCCGGCGUUGGCGGCGUCGUACACAUCGGCCACCACCACGUCAAGCCACCGUGGAGGUUGGGGGAAACCGCCGUUUGUCGGGUGUCGCCGGUUCUACCGCCGCCAGUCCUCACCAGAGGUGCGUCGGGCUCCCCUCCGCCCAAAGAUCCGCCGAACACGACAAAAAGGACCUUCCCCAGCCGCCUAUCUCCUCCUCCUCACCGCGCCGCCGCACCCAAGGUCCUGGUUCACUGGGGCGAUGGAAAGACAGCCACAGCUUCCCGCUCCAGAUCCAAGCACAGGGGGGAAAGGGUGCGAUGCCCACCUGUCCUCCUUGCGGUGAGGACGGAUCUCCUCCACCGCGUCCCUCCCCUCGUCAUCACCGGAGAUCCAGCGCUGCCUCGUCUCUCCUUCCACCAGUGAGGGUUGCGGCGAUGCACUCCUCCCUCUCCCAAAAAAUGGACGACGAUAGGGAACAGCAUGCCCGUGGCAGUGCACCGCGACUGUCGCGUGUAGUGCAGUAG